GCGACGGACUUGGAACCGGGAGAGGUAAGAGGUACUACAGGGGUAGGAGUGAAAUCUUGUAAUCCCUGUGGGACCACCUGUGGCGAAGGCGUCUUACCAGAACGGGUUCGACGGUGAGGGACGAAGCUGGGGGCACGAACCGGAUUAGAUACCCGGGUAGUCCCAGCCGUAAACGAUGCUCGCUAGGUGUCAGGCAUGGCGCGACCGUGUCUGGUGCCGCAGGGAAGCCGUGAAGCGAGCCACCUGGGAAGUACGGCCGCAAGGCUGAAACUUAAAGGAAUUGGCGGGGGAGCACAACAACGGGUGGGAAGCCUGCGGUUUAAUUGGACUCAACGCCGGACAACUCACCGGGGGCGACAGCAAUAUGUAGGCCAAGCUGAAGACUUUGCCUGAAUCGCUGAGGAGAGGUGCAUGG
RNAcentral lists this ribosomal RNA (415 nucleotides) under uncultured archaeon. RNAcentral's name for it is "bacterial SSU rRNA". It matches the Rfam family "Archaeal small subunit ribosomal RNA", at positions 584 to 997 of the family's 1478-position model. The record is from RNAcentral.